AUGUGGGGCCGAAUGUGGAGCUCCGGAUGUAGAUUCGGUGGCGAGAGGGACCCGGAGCGCGAGCGGCGCGUCCGGUCGGACGACGCGAGGAAGCGCGGCGCCCGGAAGUGGACCAACCACGGGAUGUCGCCGCCGGCGAGCUUCAACCGCCGCGAGACGGAGGAGUAUGACCGCCGGCGCGCGUCCUUCUCCUCCGCGAGGUCUUCGUACGCCGGAUCCUCCGCGUCCUCUGGCGCGGGCUUUCUCCCCGUGAAGAGGGAGUGGUCGGAGGACGAGGAGGAGCCGGCGCCAUUCGCCUUCGUCCCCGUGAAGGAGGAGCCCGAGGAGCCUGCUCCGCUCGGCCGCCGCGGAGUCGUCAGGCCCGAGGACUACGUCGCGGACGUCGACGCCGUUGCGGCCGCCAUCGCCGAGCGGAGCGUGCGCGAGGAGAUGGAGCGCCGGCGCCACGCCGAGGAGAUCGAAGGCCUCGAGUGGCGGCAGGCGAUCGCCACCAACGAGAAGGCCGAGGAGUGGCGCCGCAUCCGCGCGGAGCAGGCGGCGAACGAGCAGGUGUCACUGGUCCUGACGCCGGGCAGCGAGGAGGUGAGCGGCCACGACCACAAGGCGCUGGUGGCAGCCCUGGUGGCCAACCGGGAGUGGGUGGAGGAGAAGGUGGUGGCCAACAGCGGUGUGCUGCUGCUCGGCUUCGACGUGCGCGACGCCGUGGAUUUCGACGCCAUAGUGGACGCGCUCGGGUGGCCGGACCGGGGGAGCAGUGACUAUCAGGAGUGGCUUUUCCAGGAGAGUCAAAAUGAGCAGAAGUUUGCAAACAUACUUUUGUAUCUUCGACUUGUGACAGCUAUUGAGAUAUGCACUGAGGUUGAACAGUUCAAGGCAUUCAUAACCGACCUUGAUCAAGGAAAGCCCGAUGCAACAAAGUACUGCCUGGAGGAGGUUCUCCCAUGA
RNAcentral lists this ribosomal RNA (945 nucleotides) under Triticum aestivum (bread wheat). Its description in RNAcentral is "partial small subunit ribosomal RNA". The record is from RNAcentral. Lineage: Eukaryota; Viridiplantae; Streptophyta; Magnoliopsida; Poales; Poaceae.